GUCCACGCCCUAAACGAUGUCUACUAGUUGUUGGUGGAGUAAAAUCCAUGAGUAACGCAGCUAACGCGUGAAGUAGACCGCCUGGGGAGUACGGUCGCAAGAUUAAAACUCAAAGGAAUUGACGGGGGCCCCGCACAAGCGGUGGAUUAUGUGGAUUAAUUCGAUGCAACGCGAAAAACCUUACCUGGCCUUGACAUGCCACUAACGAAGCAGAGAUGCAUUAGGUGCUCGAAAGAGAAAGUGGACACAGGUGCUGCAUGGCUGUCGU
Molecule: ribosomal RNA, 268 nt
Filed under: uncultured bacterium
Lineage: Bacteria
Description: partial 16S ribosomal RNA
Rfam family: Bacterial small subunit ribosomal RNA
Source: RNAcentral